CCGCUUGCAGCCGGGCGCGGGCGCCCCUAUAUUGAUUGUGUCCGGGGUGACCCGGACUAUGGGUAUAAACGCGCUCGUAAUAAGCGGAUCGGACCCGGGGGCGGUACCCGGCGGCUCCACCAUCAAUCCCGUCGUUGGGGAUCAUGGGGCCGAAACAGGAUCGACGAACGUCCAAAGGGGUUUGCUUUACCUCGGUGAGCUACCACCGUUAUCGGUGCAAAAGUACAGUUGCCAACGACAACCGUGCUCCGGUCGCUCUGGCUGCGUAAGCAGCUCGGGUAACCGAAACCUAAAGCCCUGUCGCUUAGCCGCGGCAGGCGGGGCUCGCAGGCGCCUGGCAACAGAAGCCUGCACC
RNAcentral lists this transfer-messenger RNA (355 nucleotides) under Phaeovulum veldkampii DSM 11550. Its description in RNAcentral is "Alphaproteobacteria transfer-messenger RNA". It matches the Rfam family "Alphaproteobacteria transfer-messenger RNA". Rfam says of the family: Bacterial tmRNA, also known as 10Sa RNA or SsrA, is named for its dual tRNA and mRNA-like properties. Its role is to liberate the mRNA from a stalled ribosome. The record is from Rfam by way of RNAcentral. Lineage: Bacteria; Pseudomonadati; Pseudomonadota; Alphaproteobacteria; Rhodobacterales; Paracoccaceae.